Molecule: ribosomal RNA, 564 nt
Filed under: Bombus steindachneri
Lineage: Eukaryota; Metazoa; Arthropoda; Insecta; Hymenoptera; Apidae
Description: partial 16S ribosomal RNA
Rfam family: Bacterial large subunit ribosomal RNA
Source: RNAcentral
UUCACCUGUUUAUCAAAACAUGGCUUAUUGAAAAUAAUCUUAAGUCAAUCUGCCCAAUGAUUUUAAUUAAAUGGCUGCAGUAUAACUAACUGUACAAAGGUAGCAUAAUAAAUUGUUUUUUAAUUGAAAACUGGAAUGAAAGAAUUAAUGAGAUAUAUACUGUCUCAUAUAUAUUUAAUGAAUUUAAAUUUUUAGUAAAAAUGCUUAAAUUAUUUUAUGGGACGAUAAGACCCUAUAGAAUUUUAUAUUAAUAUUUUAUUAAUUAUUUAAUUAAAAUAUUAAUAUUUAAUUGGGAGGAUUAAUAAAUUUAAAAAACUUUAUUUUAAAAAUAAACUUUGAUUUUAGAAUUAAUUUUUGAUCUUUUAUUAUAAAUCAAAAGAAUAAAUUACCUUAGGGAUAACAGCGUAAUAUCUUUUUAAAGAUCGUAUUUAUAAAGAUGUUUGCGACCUCGAUGUUGAAUUAAGAUUAAUUUUAAACGGAGAAGUUUAAUAAUUAAGUCUGUUCGACUUUUAAAAUCUUACAUGAUUUGAGUUCAAAUCGACGUGAGUCAGGUUGGUUUCUAUC